GCCUGAUGCAGCGACGCCGCGUGAGGGAUGACGGCCUUCGGGUUGUAAACCUCUUUCAGCAGGGACGAAGCGCAAGUGACGGUACCUGCAGAAGAAGCGCCGGCCAACUACGUGCCAGCAGCCGCGGUAAGACGUAGGGCGCGAGCGUUGUCCGGAUUUAUUGGGCGUAAAGAGCUCGUAGGCGGCUUGUCGCGUCGACUGUGAAAACCCGCGGCUCAACCGCGGGCCUGCAGUCGAUACGGGCAGGCUAGAGUUCGGUAGGGGAGACUGGAAUUCCUGGUGUAGCGGUGAAAUGCGCAGAUAUCAGGAGGAACACCGAUGGCGAAGGCAGGUCUCUGGGCCGAUACUGACGCUGAGGAGCGAAAGCGUGGGGAGCGAACAGGAUUAGAUACCCUGGUAGUCCACGCUGUAAACGUUGGGCGCUAGGUGUGGGGGACCUCUCCGGUUCUCUGUGCCGCAGCUAACGCAUUAAGCGCCCCGCCUGGGGAGUACGGCCGCAAGGCUAAAACUCAAAGGAAUUGACGGGGGCCCGCACAAGCGGCGGAGCAUGCGGAUUAAUUCGAUGCAACGCGAAGAACCUUACCUGGGUUUGACAUCGCCGGAAAACUCGUAGAGAUACGGGGUCCUUCGGGGCC
RNAcentral lists this ribosomal RNA (635 nucleotides) under Actinoplanes sp. Ri2Pt_4017. RNAcentral describes it as "bacterial SSU rRNA". It matches the Rfam family "Bacterial small subunit ribosomal RNA", at positions 381 to 1028 of the family's 1533-position model. Lineage: Bacteria; Bacillati; Actinomycetota; Actinomycetes; Micromonosporales; Micromonosporaceae. The record is from RNAcentral.